RNAcentral lists this ribosomal RNA (723 nucleotides) under uncultured Bacillota bacterium. RNAcentral describes it as "bacterial SSU rRNA". It matches the Rfam family "Bacterial small subunit ribosomal RNA", at positions 60 to 762 of the family's 1533-position model. Lineage: Bacteria; Bacillati; Bacillota. The record is from RNAcentral.
AGUCGAACGCGAAAGGGGGCAACCCCCGGUAGCGUGGCAGACGGGUGAGUAACACGUGGGUAACCUACCCGAAGGUGGGGGAUAACCCUUCGAAAGGAGGGCUAAUACCGCAUGACAUCGCGAGGACCUCGGUCCUUACGAUCAAAGCUGGCCUCUGUUUACAAGCUAGCGCCAACGGAUGGGCCCGCGCCCCAUUAGCUAGUUGGUGAGGUAACGGCUCACCAAGGCGACGAUGGGUAGCCGGCCUGAGAGGGCGAUCGGCCACACUGGAACUGCGACACGGUCCAGACUCCUACGGGAGGCAGCAGUGAGGAAUCUUGCGCAAUGGGCGAAAGCCUGACGCAGCGACGCCGCGUGGAGGAUGAAGGUCUUCGGAUUGUAAACUCCUGUCGAGUGGGACGAAUGCCGCGAGGGUGAACAAUCUUCGCGGUUGACGGUACCGCUGGAGGAAGCCCCGGCUAACUCCGUGCCAGCAGCCGCGGUAAUACGGAGGGGGCUAGCGUUGUUCGGAAUCAUUGGGCGUAAAGGGCGCGUAGGCGGCUGAUCAAGUCGGAGGUGAAAUCCCUCGGCUCAACUGAGGAAUUGCCUUCGAUACUGUUCGGCUUGAGUCCUGGAGAGGGUAGCGGAAUUCCCGGUGUAGCGGUGAAAUGCGUAAAGACCGGGAAAACACCAGUGGCGAAGGCGGCUACCUGGACGGGUACUGACGCUGAAGCGCGAAAGCUA